RNAcentral lists this ribosomal RNA (378 nucleotides) under uncultured eukaryote. RNAcentral's name for it is "partial 18S ribosomal RNA". It matches the Rfam family "Eukaryotic small subunit ribosomal RNA", at positions 592 to 976 of the family's 1831-position model. The record is from RNAcentral.
CAAUAGCGUAUAUUAAAAUUGUUGCGGUUAAAACGCUCGUAGUUGGAUAUCUGCUAAGGAGUUCCGGUCCUUCCCAGUGAAGAAUACGCGGAACUCUUCUUGGCAUUUAUUCAGGGAAGGUGUUUGCACUUUGUUGUGUGUCACGUGAUCUGAAUUUUUACUUUGAGGAAAUGAGAGUGUUUCAAGCAGGCUUUCGCCGUGAAUAUGAUAGCAUGGAAUAAUAGCACAGGACCCCUUUCCAAAGCUGUUGGUUUUUGGAACGAGGUAAUCAGAAUAAGGAUAGUUGGGGGUAUUCGUAUUUAACUGUCAGAGGUGAAAUUCUUGGAUUUUUUAAAGACGAACUAUUGCGAAGGCAUCUGCCCAGGAUGUUUUUAUUGA